UAAAAGGGUUACUCAUAUAAUAGUGGUAAUAUGGUCCACAAGUUUCUACCAGAUACCGUAACAUAUCUGACUAUGAGAAAAAUUCA
RNAcentral lists this non-coding RNA (86 nucleotides) under uncultured Clostridium sp. RNAcentral's name for it is "Purine riboswitch". The stretch from base 10 to 84 matches the Rfam family "Purine riboswitch aptamer", at positions 18 to 93 of the family's 102-position model. Rfam says of the family: Riboswitches are metabolite binding domains within certain messenger RNAs that serve as precision sensors for their corresponding targets. Allosteric rearrangement of mRNA structure is mediated by ligand binding, and this results in modulation of gene expression. The record is from RNAcentral. Lineage: Bacteria; Bacillati; Bacillota; Clostridia; Eubacteriales; Clostridiaceae.